GAGUGAACGCUGGCGGUAGGCCUAACACAUGCAAGUCGAACGGCAGCACAGUAAGAGCUUGCUCUUACGGGUGGCGAGUGGCGGACGGGUGAGGAAUACAUCGGAAUCUACUUUUUCGUGGGGGAUAACGUAGGGAAACUUACGCUAAUACCGCAUACGACCUACGGGUGAAAGCAGGGGAUCUUCGGACCUUGCGCGAUUGAAUGAGCCGAUGUCGGAUUAGCUAGUUGGCGGGGUAAAGGCCCACCAAGGCGACGAUCCGUAGCUGGUCUGAGAGGAUGAUCAGCCACACUGGAACUGAGACACGGUCCAGACUCCUACGGGAGGCAGCAGUGGGGAAUAUUGGACAAUGGGCGCAAGCCUGAGCCAGCCAUACCGCGUGGGUGAAGAAGGCCUUCGGGUUGUAAAGCCCUUUUGUUGGGAAAGAAAAGCAGCAGGUUAAUACCCCGCUGUUCUGACGGUACCCAAAGAAUAAGCACCGGCUAACUUCGUGC
Molecule: ribosomal RNA, 494 nt
Filed under: uncultured bacterium
Lineage: Bacteria
Description: partial 16S ribosomal RNA
Rfam family: Bacterial small subunit ribosomal RNA
Source: RNAcentral